Long non-coding RNA from Ipomoea nil (Japanese morning glory), 159 nucleotides. RefSeq lists it as uncharacterized. NCBI's taxonomy places the organism in Eukaryota, Viridiplantae, Streptophyta, Magnoliopsida, Solanales, Convolvulaceae. The transcript is spliced from 3 exons. The record is from RefSeq and is a predicted model, not a curated record.
AAUAGAAAAUAGGUUAAAAAAUAUGGCACACGUUUUAAAACUCCUUUUCGCAAAGUGAAGUGAUGGUCACUAAUCCAAGUAUGGGGAAUAGGGCAAGGACAGAAGGAAUGACCAAGAGACUUACCGCUCCCGUUGUCCAAUGAAUAGAUUUCAAUUCAU